Lagopus muta (rock ptarmigan) is the source of this 3549-nucleotide long non-coding RNA. RefSeq lists it as uncharacterized. NCBI's taxonomy places the organism in Eukaryota, Metazoa, Chordata, Aves, Galliformes, Phasianidae. The transcript has 6 exons. The record is from RefSeq and is a predicted model, not a curated record.
UUUUUUUUUUUUUAGAUGCUGCAUCAAGAAGUUAAGAUGGUCUGUCUACUUGGAAUACUGUCUGAUGAAUAUUGAAAGAUGGUUUUAAGAACUGGAUGACAGAUGCCUGAUGUGGAAGUAAGGGUGAUGCAAAGAUGUGCAGUUGAAUUCCUCCAUGUGGAAAAAAAACCAACAUUGACAUUAAUCAACAGUUGCUGAGCAUUUUUGGAGACUAAACAGUGGAUGUGAGUGCAGUGAGUCAGUAGGUGGUGCAUUUUAACAUUGGUGACAGCAAAUGAAAGACAGCUAUGUUUUGUGUGGCCUGCACAGCUGUCUCACCACGAAAUGAAGAGUGUCUUAAUCAGCUCACCCUCAUGAAAUGGCACACUGUGACAAGGGAGCUGUGUAUAGAGCUGAAUAUCGGCUGUAAAGCAUAGGAAACAGUGGUGGCAACAUUGAAAUAUCACAGAGUUUGCACCGGGCGGGUCCCAUGAGUGUUCACAUAGGAAUAGGUAUAAUACCAUACUCAAGUUUGUCAGGACCUAUUGAACUAAUACAAGGCUGAAGGUCACAGUUUCCUGGAUUGCAUCAUUACUACUGAUGAGACAUGGUGUCACCGUUAUGAGCCAAAGAGAAUACAGCAGUCCAUGGAGUGGUGACAUAUGAAUUCCCCACUGAAGAAAAGUUCAAGACACAGCCCUCAGCAGGUAAAAUGAUGUGUGCUGUUUUUUGGGAUAGGAAAGGCGUGAUUCUUCUGGGUUUCCUGGAACCUGGGCAAACAUUAAUGCUGACUAAGAUAAAGGCUCUAACUUCCAGAAGCAGGCCAGAGAAGACACCUUUUCUCUUGCAACACAACAACACCAGGCCUGUAUCAGAUUUGAAGUGCACUGCACUGUAGCAGAAAUGCUAAGUCACAGGCUGAAACAGUGAUUGAGCACCUGGUAGGAAGGCAGGGCCAACCCAGGGAGCUCAGGUGCAAGCAUUGCACUGAGUGACUAGAACAGUUGGAUCUACCCCUUCCCAGACCUCGUGUAAGAGCUGGCAGUGGAAGUGAAGAUGUCUUGCUGAAAAUACCUGCCUUCCUGAGGCCUUCUGAAGUAAAGAAUGACCAGGCAAUACUCUUUGAAAAUUGGAGACCAUUUGCAGCUGCUCUCUGCUGAGGAAAGUGAAUAAUAGGGUGCCCUCAAGGAAUUUCAAAGCACCACCACUUGAGUGGAAGCAGGAGCACUGGAGAAGCCAGAGCCAAGCAUGAGUCUACACUUUGCGAACUGUGAAUCUCUGAAAGACGGUUCACAAGACAUAUUCCUGAGAGGACAGCAAUCACCUGAUGUGGUUUAUAAAGAAGAGAUGACAAAACUUGCUGAGAGAUCCACCACUCCUUUGUGUGAUGAUGUUGGGUUGAGCAUGAAGGAAAGUUCAGAAUCCGGAGACCUUAGGCUUCAGAUUAAACCAAGGCACAUUCUACCAACGUAAGGCACUAUGCAAAACUCAAUGAAGAUUAAUUGAUUUGGAGGAGGAGAAGGCAAAAGAGAGAUGAUUGAAAGGCACUCAGCAAAAGAACUUUCCAUUUUCUAGUUAAGGAAAUAGCAGUAUUCUGGAGUAUCCUAUGUCUUUACAGAUUACAUCAUCUGGAUAUGUCCUAGAGACGGGCUUGUGGUAUAGAUGCUAUAGAAUUCUGCCCUUCCUUCAGACCUAUGGAUGUAAAAAUAGAUGCAAUAUACAAUCGUGCAUUUCUGCAGCACAAGCUGAGGAGACAAAAUCCCUUUUUGGCUGAUAUAGCAUCUCAACACUAGCCUGGUUAGUGCUUAUGUGAAUUCCUGAUACUUUGCACUAGUCUUCAGUGUGCAUUUGGUUAUCUGCUAAUAUUUUCCCUUGCACAAGAACGCUGAUCAUCUUUCUAAUGGGGAGCAUAACAAUUUGAAGCAUAUUCAUAUUUGUGCUAAAGGACCAUAGUCUCAAAGUAUAAUCCAAAAGAUUGUUACAUGAUAGAUUAUGUCUGACAGGAUUUAGGAAAAUGUCACAUAUCAGACACACAGGCCAACAGUAUAUAACAGGACUGCUGCCUCUGGCAGCUUAAUUCCAGCAGAUUUCUAAUCAUGUGUAUUUCAAGAUGAUAAGAGGCAUGCGAGAAAUCUUUUACAGCUUUUGAGGCGUACUCCAGACCAAAAUGAAGGGCAUGCUUGGUUGUACACAAUAGCUGAGGAACUUUUUGUACUAGCAGAAUUAAAUUUCACCCUUUUAUUUUUCAGAUACCACGCAAACUGAAUUGUUUCGGUUUGGUUUUCAGAGUUUUAACAAAUUAGGUCUCACUAUUUCCUUCUCCUUUUUUCCCUCUGUCUGCUAACAGUUUUACGACCAUACUUUUGCAACCAGCACGUUUAUGCUUCAAAUAUUUAUUCUUCUUUUCUUCAUAACCCAUUGGUAGAAUACACAGUUCCUGGGAUCUGUUGGAGAUUAGAUUGUCUCCUUCAAGGUAUUGCUAGGAAAAACAAAUGCUGAGAAAAUCUUCCCCACUUAAAACUGAUGAUUCAUGCUGCUGUUUCUUCUCAUUUUCUUUGUUUUGUCUCAUGAUGCCAAACAUAUACCACACAUCAGAAGGAAGAGGGAGGACAAAAGAAAGAGGAGAAAUCUUGAUCUACACAGAAGGUUGUCUCUUAAACUCAUCUUCUGAAAAGAACAGAAACACUGAACAGCUUCUUUCUCUGACGGUCAUACCAAUGUUUCCAAAACCCUGCCAGAACAGUGCUAACUUAUCCUUAUUUUUUUCUUUCCUUCUCUUACUCUGUUGUUUUCUGUUGUGUUUUUUUUUAAAACACAGCCUUGCAGGUAAGCUCAGAGAUUGCAAAAUUGCUUGUGAGCUCUUAGGGCUUGGCCCAUAAGCAGCCUCUUUGCCCGAACUUGCUAGUGAUUUGAAUUGGUUAACUCACUCAACUCUCAAAGAAAGAUAUAGAUGCUAUUGUAGCGUGAUUAUUUACUGCAAAAUCUUUAUCCUGGAUUCCUUCCAUUUUGUGGCUUUCUGAUUUGCUGUCUAUGGGCCUAGGCCUGUCCUUGUAGAAAACAGAGCCCAAAUUUCCGCUGGGCUCAUUGACAUGCACUGCUUGUGUUAGCAAAAACAAUAUCUGCAAUUUGCUUAGUCUGAGACCCAGAACACAGAUUCCACCAGCUCAAGCUACUGGUCAAACAUGGUCAUUAUCAUGUUUCUGGCAUAACUGCUAGCAGAUGCUUUAGAAACAGCAAAAGCAAACAACAUAAUGUGUCUGGCCAAAAAGGAAGUAAUACCAAAUAGGAAGGAAAAUUAUUUUCUGAUAUUUCUUUUGAUCAAUGUGUGAUUUGAAAGAAACAACAGAUUUGUCUUGUGUUUAAGAAUAGUUGCAUCUGUGCAUUUCAUGGAGGACUUUGAUAUAUUUUUCUGGAAAAUAAAAGUCAUCAGAUAAUCAGAAAGAGAUUUACUUCAGAAACGGAACAUGAGACAUGGUGGCUUCUUUAAAAUUCAGUGCCUGAUGAGAUUCAAUGAGGAAAAAAAAUGCAUUUUCUGAACUAAAAAACAUCAUUGGUUAAAAAAAAAAAAAA